AUCCAGCUGACGAGUCCCAAAUAGGACGAAACGCGCGUCCUUGUGAAU
Molecule: non-coding RNA, 48 nt
Organism: Schistosoma mansoni
Lineage: Eukaryota; Metazoa; Platyhelminthes; Trematoda; Strigeidida; Schistosomatidae
Source: Rfam